Amblyraja radiata (thorny skate) is the source of this 120-nucleotide long non-coding RNA. RefSeq lists it as uncharacterized. Lineage: Eukaryota; Metazoa; Chordata; Chondrichthyes; Rajiformes; Rajidae. The transcript has 4 exons. The record is from RefSeq and is a predicted model, not a curated record.
CCGCCAUGUUAUACCGGUCACCUUCAGAGAGACGAGCGGAACCUGCUGGGUCCUAGCGCCCGCUCGAUGCACAGAGAGCGGAAGCAACCAGGUCCUGCUGACACCGCCAGCAGCGCAGCG